GACGAACGCUGGCGGCGUGCCUAAUACAUGCAAGUAGAACGCACAGUUUAUACCGUAGCUUGCUACACCAUAGACUGUGAGUUGCGAACGGGUGAGUAACGCGUAGGUAACCUGCCUGGUAGCGGGGGAUAACUAUUGGAAACGAUAGCUAAUACCGCAUAAUAUUGAUUAUUGCAUGAUAAUUAAUUGAAAGGUGCAAUUGCACCACUACCAGAUGGACCUGCGUUGUAUUAGCUAGUAGGUGAGGUAACGGCUCACCUAGGCGACGAUACAUAGCCGACCGGAGAGGGUGAUCGGCCACACUGGGACUGAGACACGGCCCAGACUCCUACGGGAGGCAGCAGUAGGGAAUCUUCGGCAAUGGACGAAAGUCUGACCGAGCAACGCCGCGUGAGUGAAGAAGGUUUUCGGAUCGUAAAGCUCUGUUGUAAGAGAAGAACGGGUGUGAGAGUGGAAAGUUCACACUGUGACGGUAUCUUACCAGAAAGGGACGGCUAACUACGUG
This 505-nucleotide ribosomal RNA is filed under the name uncultured bacterium. RNAcentral describes it as "partial 16S ribosomal RNA". It matches the Rfam family "Bacterial small subunit ribosomal RNA", at positions 28 to 507 of the family's 1533-position model. The record is from RNAcentral.